UCAUGAGUAAGAGUGAGGAUGAAGCCCAUGCCUUGUUUGAGAUUUUGAGUGAGAACUCGAUCAAUCAUGCUUCACUAUCUUCUUAUGAAAGGUCGAUUCCUCAUCAUAAGCAGGCAAAAAUCUAUAAAAUUAAAUAUGCAAACUCUAGUCCUAAGGCUGACUUAAACCUAAUAGCUCAACUAGAUAAAAUCAACCUUCUUGUCCAGAAGUUAGAUCAAGUCAUAGCCCU
RNAcentral lists this long non-coding RNA (229 nucleotides) under Elaeis guineensis (African oil palm). RNAcentral describes it as "long non-coding RNA (EGUI_LNC041878)". Lineage: Eukaryota; Viridiplantae; Streptophyta; Magnoliopsida; Arecales; Arecaceae. The record is from RNAcentral.